Molecule: long non-coding RNA, 910 nt
Organism: Lutra lutra (Eurasian river otter)
Lineage: Eukaryota; Metazoa; Chordata; Mammalia; Carnivora; Mustelidae
Exons: 2
Source: RefSeq, a predicted model, not a curated record
UCACUUUUACCCAUUUUCUAGGUUAAAUUUGAAUAACAUUUCUUCAGAUCUCUCUGAGAUAUUGGGCAAGAUAGCAGUGUUGUAUAGAUUAACCAAUUCAGGGUCUUAAAGCCAUUUGAUUCAGGGUGCAGUAUAAAUGCAAUGCAGGAUGUGCCAUAAAGCAAAAUGCUAAUUAUUGUAGGCGAUGCAGAUGCUGAUUUUAAAGGUACCAGAUGUGAAUCGUCUCUCAGCAUCAUGGGCUGGCUCCUGGAAGAAAACACGACACAUGCGAACGGUACAAACUGAGUAAAACAAAUCACUCAGAAGAAUAAAAACCACCGGGUAAGCAGAGCCACAAUUAUCCUCAGAAAAAUCAGGAUUCCACUUUCUGGAAGACAGCCAGGUGGAACGGGCAACAAAAUAUCUGCUUGGCACCACCUACUCAUUCCAGUCACGCAGCAUAUGCUGUAUUCUAGCAUGUUGGGGGCACGAUGAACUUGAACCAGGUACAGUCAUCCGUUGCAGGCUUCUCACAGCAUUCUCCCUGACGUCUAAGGCAAAACAGCAAGGAUCUGGCAAAACGUUUUGACUUUGCAGACUGUGGUGCUGUUCUCUUCAGGGGCCCUGGCUGCCCAUAUCCCCGAGAUAGAAUGAACUUUUGACUCUGGGCACAGCACAAAGUCUCAAGCUGUUCCCUGCAGGAGUGGAGAGCUCGGAUGGGGUUAAGGACUUUGGUGGCUUUCGCUAAGGCUUUAAAGGCAGCUUCACCUGCACUUGCAUCAGCAGGAAGGUCCGUGCCUGAGAAGCAGGCCGACCAGCCAAAGAUCGAAGCUCGUUCUGAAUAUGCCAUCCAGGUUCCUGGGAAUUCAGCUAUGGGGACCGAAGCCUGACAAUUGUGUUUUUCUGUAAAUGAACCCAGCAGAUUUGCCAC